RNAcentral lists this ribosomal RNA (465 nucleotides) under uncultured bacterium. RNAcentral's name for it is "partial 16S ribosomal RNA". It matches the Rfam family "Bacterial small subunit ribosomal RNA", at positions 28 to 507 of the family's 1533-position model. The record is from RNAcentral.
GACGAACGCUGGCGGCGUGCUUAACACAUGCAAGUCGAACGGAAAGGCCCCUUUGGGGGUACUCGAGUGGCGAACGGGUGAGUAACACGUGAGUAACCUGCCCUUGACUUCGGGAUAACUUCAGGAAACUGGGGCUAAUACCGGAUAGGAAUCAUUGCUGCAUGGUGGGGGUUGGAAAGCUUCGGCGGUUUUGGAUGGACUCGCGGCGUAUCAGCUUGUUGGUGGGGUAGUGGCUUACCAAGGCUUUGACGGGUAGCCGGCCUGAGAGGGCGACCGGCCACAUUGGGACUGAGAUACGGCCCAGACUCCUACGGGAGGCAGCAGGGGGGAAUAUUGCACAAUGGGCGGAAGCCUGAUGCAGCAACGCCGCGGGCGGGAUGACGGCCUUCGGGUUGUAAACCGCUUUCAGCAGGGGCGAAGCUUGUGGUGACGGUACCUGCAGAAGAAGCACCGGCUAACUACGUG